RNAcentral lists this ribosomal RNA (429 nucleotides) under Bacillota bacterium. RNAcentral's name for it is "Firmicutes bacterium partial 16S ribosomal RNA". It matches the Rfam family "Bacterial small subunit ribosomal RNA", at positions 355 to 776 of the family's 1533-position model. The record is from RNAcentral. Lineage: Bacteria; Bacillati; Bacillota.
UAGGGAAUCUUCGGCAAUGGACGGAAGUCUGACCGAGCAACGCCGCGUGAGUGAAGAAGGUUUUCGGAUCGUAAAGCUCUGUUGUUAGAGAAGAACGUUGGUAGGAGAGGAAAAUCUACCAAGUGACGGUAACUAACCAGAAAGGGACGGCUAACUACGUGCCAGCAGCCGCGGUAAUACGUAGGUCCCGAGCGUUGUCCGGAUUUAUUGGGCGUAAAGCGAGCGCAGGCGGUUCUUUAAGUCUGAAGUUAAAGGCAGUGGCUUAACCAUUGUACGCUUUGGAAACUGGAGGACUUGAGUGCAGAAGGGGAGAGUGGAAUUCCAUGUGUAGCGGUCAAAUGCGUAGAUAUAUGGAGGAACACCGGUGGCGAAAGCGGCUCUCUGGUCUGUAACUGACGCUGAGGCUCGAAAGCGUGGGGAGCAAACAGG